AGCCUUCUAUAUCCAUGCUGAGAUUUCGCCAGCGACCAAACCACUGGCGUUGGCUGAUGCAACUCCUCAAAUAAGUGAAGUG
Molecule: microRNA precursor, 82 nt
Filed under: Trichobilharzia regenti
Lineage: Eukaryota; Metazoa; Platyhelminthes; Trematoda; Strigeidida; Schistosomatidae
Description: mir-3492 microRNA precursor family
Rfam family: mir-3492 microRNA precursor family
Source: Rfam by way of RNAcentral